Molecule: small nuclear RNA, 191 nt
Filed under: Mus caroli (Ryukyu mouse)
Lineage: Eukaryota; Metazoa; Chordata; Mammalia; Rodentia; Muridae
Description: snRNA (MGP_CAROLIEiJ_G0034848.1)
Rfam family: U2 spliceosomal RNA
About the family: U2 is a small nuclear RNA (snRNA) component of the spliceosome (involved in pre-mRNA splicing).
Source: RNAcentral
AUCGCUUCUCGGCCUUUUGGCUAAGAUCAAGUGUAGUAUCUGUUCUUAUCAGUUUAAUAUCUGAUACGUCCUCUAUCCGAGGACAAUAUAUUAAGUGGAUUUUUGGAAGUAGGAGUUGGAAUAGGAGCUUGCUCCGUCAACUCCACGCAUCGACCUGGUAUUGCAGUACCUCCAGGAACGGUGCACCCCCU